GCGGACGUGGCGGAACUGGCAUACGCGUUAGGCUUAGGACCUAAUGGCAGCAAUGCCUUGGGGGUUCAACUCCCUCCGUCCGCA
RNAcentral lists this transfer RNA (84 nucleotides) under Candidatus Omnitrophota bacterium. Its description in RNAcentral is "Candidatus Omnitrophica bacterium tRNA-Leu". It matches the Rfam family "tRNA". From Rfam's summary of the family: Transfer RNA (tRNA) molecules are approximately 80 nucleotides in length. Their secondary structure includes four short double-helical elements and three loops (D, anti-codon, and T loops). Further hydrogen bonds mediate the characteristic L-shaped molecular structure. tRNAs have two regions of fundamental functional importance: the anti-codon, which is responsible for specific mRNA codon recognition, and the 3' end, to which the tRNAs corresponding amino acid is attached (by aminoacyl-tRNA synthetases). tRNAs cope with the degeneracy of the genetic code in two manners: having more than one tRNA (with a specific anti-codon) for a particular amino acid; and 'wobble' base-pairing, i.e. permitting non-standard base-pairing at the 3rd anti-codon position. Lineage: Bacteria; Pseudomonadati; Candidatus Omnitrophota. The record is from RNAcentral.